Molecule: ribosomal RNA, 837 nt
Filed under: Enterococcus sp. Gull12_D04_7
Lineage: Bacteria; Bacillati; Bacillota; Bacilli; Lactobacillales; Enterococcaceae
Description: bacterial SSU rRNA
Rfam family: Bacterial small subunit ribosomal RNA
Source: RNAcentral
UCUUUUCCCACCGGAGCUUGCUCCACCGGGAAAAGAGGAGUGGCGAACGGGUGAGUAACACGUGGGUAACCUGCCCAUCAGAAGGGGAUAACACUUGGAAACAGGUGCUAAUACCGUAUAACAAUCGAAACCGCAUGGUUUCGUUUUGAAAGGCGCUUUACGGUGCCGCUGAUGGAUGGACCCGCGGUGCAUUAGCUAGUUGGUGAGGUAACGGCUCACCAAGGCCACGAUGCAUAGCCGACCUGAGAGGGUGAUCGGCCACAUUGGGACUGAGACACGGCCCAAACUCCUACGGGAGGCAGCAGUAGGGAAUCUUCGGCAAUGGACGAAAGUCUGACCGAGCAACGCCGCGUGAGUGAAGAAGGUUUUCGGAUCGUAAAACUCUGUUGUUAGAGAAGAACAAGGGUGAGAGUAACUGUUCACCCCUUGACGGUAUCUAACCAGAAAGCCACGGCUAACUACGUGCCAGCAGCCGCGGUAAUACGUAGGUGGCAAGCGUUGUCCGGAUUUAUUGGGCGUAAAGCGAGCGCAGGCGGUUUCUUAAGUCUGAUGUGAAAGCCCCCGGCUCAACCGGGGAGGGUCAUUGGAAACUGGGAGACUUGAGUGCAGAAGAGGAGAGUGGAAUUCCAUGUGUAGCGGUGAAAUGCGUAGAUAUAUGGAGGAACACCAGUGGCGAAGGCGGCUCUCUGGUCUGUAACUGACGCUGAGGCUCGAAAGCGUGGGGAGCAAACAGGAUUAGAUACCCUGGUAGUCCACGCCGUAAACGAUGAGUGCUAAGUGUUGGAGGGUUUCCGCCCUUCAGUGCUGCAGCUAACGCAUUAAGCACUCCGCCUGGGG